Molecule: ribosomal RNA, 468 nt
Filed under: uncultured bacterium
Lineage: Bacteria
Description: partial 16S ribosomal RNA
Rfam family: Bacterial small subunit ribosomal RNA
Source: RNAcentral
GAUGAACGCUGGCGGCGUGCUUAACACAUGCAAGUCGAACGGAAAGGCCCAAGCUUGCUUGGGUACUCUAGUGGCGAACGGGUGAGUAACACGUGGGUGAUCUGCCCUGCACUUCGGUAUAAGCCUGUGAAACUGGGUCUAAUACCGGAUAGGACGAUGGUUUGGAUGUCAUUGUGGAGAGUUUUUGCGGUGUGGUAUGAGAUCGCGACCUAUCAGCUUGUUGGUGGGGUAUUGGCCUACCAAGGCGUCGACGGGUAGCCGGCCUGAGAGGGUGUACGGCCACAUUGGGACUGAGAUACGGCCCAGACACCUACGGGGGGCAGCAGUGGGGAAUAUUGCACCAUGGGCGGAAGCCUGAUGCAGCGAAGCCGCGUGGGGGGUGACGGCCUUCGGGUUGUAAACUCCUUUCGCUAGGGACGAAGCGUUUUUGUGACGGUACCUGGAGAAGAAGCACCGGCUAACUACGUG